Piliocolobus tephrosceles (Ugandan red Colobus) is the source of this 2819-nucleotide RNA transcript. It is a transcript of the gene named zinc finger protein 705A-like, with no coding region annotated. The record is from RefSeq and is a predicted model, not a curated record. Lineage: Eukaryota; Metazoa; Chordata; Mammalia; Primates; Cercopithecidae. The transcript is spliced from 5 exons.
CUCCAACCUCAGCUUUUCUUAGUGCCUGAAGUGUCUGCAAGUGGAAAUCCAGAAGAAGACAGAGAGAAACUGAGUUCUUGACAAUGCAUUCACUAAAGAAAGUGACUUUUGAAGAUGUAGCUAUUGACUUCACCCAGGAAGAGUGGGCCAUGAUGGACACAUCCAAGAGAAAGCUGUACAGAGAUGUAUUGCUGGAAAAUGUCAGUCACCUGGUGUCCCUCGGGUACCAGACAAGCAAAUCCUAUAUAAUUUUGCAGCUGGAGCAAGGAAAAGAGCUCUAGCGGGAAGGAAGAGAAUUUCUCCAAGGUCAGAAUCUGGACAAGAAAAGUGCCCUUAAGAAAAAACACACGAUAUCCAUGCAUCCUAUCAGAAAAGAUGCAUCCACCGGUAUGACAAUGGAGAACUCUCUCAUUCUGGAGGAUCCCUUUGAAUGUAAUGAUUUGGGAGAAGAUUGCACUCACAAUUCCACAAUGACUCAGUGUUUGUUAACUCAGAGUGGAAAGAAACCCUACAUCAGCAAACAGUGUGGAAAAUCCCUUAGUAAUCAGUUGUCCCCUAAACCACAUAAAUGAAUUCAUACUAAACGUAGAUCAUAUCAGUGUAAUAUAUGUGAAAACGCCUAUACUAACUGCUUUCACCUUAGAUGGCACAAGAUGACUCACACCGGAGAGAGGCCAUAUGCAUGUCAUCUAUGUGGAAAAUCCUUCACUCAGUGUUCUCACCUUAGAAGACAUGAGAAAACUCACACAGGAGAGAGACUGUAUAAGUGUCAUCAGUGUGGGAAAGGCUUUAUUCAAUCCUUUAACCUUCAAAGACAUGAGAGAUCUCACCUUGGAUAAAAGCGUUAUGAAUGUGAUAAAAGUAGGAAAGUCUUUAGUCAAAACUCUGGCUUUAGAGGACACAAAAGAAUUCACACUGAAGAGAAACCACAUGCUUGUCUUCUAUGUGGGAAAGCCUUCAGUCUAUCUUCUGACCUUAGAUGAUAUGAGAGAACAUGCACUGGAGAAAAUCCAUAUGAAUGCCAUUUAUGUGGGAAAGCCUUUAGUCAAUGUACUAAUCUGAAAUAACAUCAGAAAAUUCACCCUGGAGAGAAACUCAUAAAUGUCUUCACAACAUAGUCUGACUUUAGAUGAUAUGGUGUUAGGAAUGACGAAUGUAAGGAAUAUGGAAGAGACUUCAGCUGUAGUUGUAACAUCUAAACAUGCCAAAGGACUCACAUUUUGAAGAAUUACUGUAAUCAACAUGGACGUUACUUCAGUUACCUUUGUUCUUCAGCCCACAUCAAUAAAUUCAUAUGGAAGGGAAAUUGUACGACAUGUGUGUACCAAAGACUUGUUAGUGAUCUGAUCAUAAAUGACACGAGAGAGCUGAAACUGUCAACAUAAUAAACUAAAAGUCUUCAGCAACAGUUUUAACAACUUAAAACGUGUGGGACUCUCAGGUAGAGAAUCUCUAGCUCUGCGUUCAGUGUGAAAACGUUUUUAUGUGCAAUUUCUUGUCAAAUAACAUCAGAAAACUUUACUUGGAUGAACCCUUUAGUUGUCUUUUCUGUGAAUAAACAUUCAGUCAAGCACUAGGCUUGAUGUUCACAAGAAAACACAGUGAUAAAAUGCUGCUAACACGGAAAAUAAGAGAGGAAAUCCUUUAUAAGCUAAAUAUGAAGGGAAAGUCUUUCCAAGAGAAAUGAAUCCUCUUGGAAUACCAAACACUUCUUACUGGAGAAGUUAUGCCUUGAAAGAUCACAAGAAUUCCUUUCUUCACAGAGUAACACUUGUGGCACAUGUGAGAUUUCACACUGGACAAAACACGGUUAGCAUCUUGAAAGGAGAAGAUUCUUUAGUGGUAGUUCAUUUCUUAGUUGACAUUACGUUUCUCACAUUGAGGAGCUAUCAAACUUGAAAAUCACUGUGGAGAAACCUGAUAGAUUUCUCAUCAGAAAAGUGAGUCAAGAAGGUGAACCUCUAGAAAAAACUCUUAAACACAUAGUUUAGCAAAAUAAUUCAGAAAUUUGAGAAAAUGUCUAUUCAUAAAAAUGCAGCACAUAAAUGUAUAAUAGCAAAGUGACCUGGGCAUAAAUUGAAUGCAGAAUUAUAUAAGAAAUCUCAUUAAAUAUUUCCAAACGAUCAAUACUUACAAAUAUUGAAAGAAUACAAUCGGUUGUUGAAAAAACUUAGUGUGUUGGCGAAGUCCUUCUUUCAUUUAUGCAGCCCUAACAAAUCGAUUUGCAUCUGCACUCCUUGGCUUAUGGGUCAAGAUUCUACCCCAACUUCUGAGUCUCCCCAGUCUUCAACAGCUCUUUCCUCACAGCUCACCUCCCUUUACUUCAAUGUCCACUAAAACCAGUUGUUUCCAUCCAACCCUGGAACUGACACAUCAGGGAUCUUCAGCCCCACUUGCCAGAUUUCUCAGUGUGUCAUUGCAUAGAUUUAGCAAGGAAAUGGAGGCUGAAUCAAAGACACCUAGUAUAUGCAUUUGGGUGCCCCAGCCCUUGCCUCUAUCUCUGAGUAGUUACCUGGGAUCAGAGAAUAAGGCAGCCCUGCUCUUCUAUCCCUCAGAAAUCUCUUGAAAUUUUGUCCCUGAAGCCUCUCUAAGUGGAGGUAGCAGUUCAUCUCAUGGCACCCCAGAGUAUAUUCAGGUAAGUCCUGAGUUAUUACACAGAGACAGACACAGCUGUGCUCCUUUUACUUCUGUCCAGAAGAUAAAACACCAGCAUGAGAAAACAGCCGAACCUGUCAGACACCAUGCAAGCCUUUCCUAUAUUUGAUUCAAUGUACUUUUCCAGAAGCAAAAUAAAAGUUCUCACAGAGGGGGCCUCCUCU